Molecule: non-coding RNA, 115 nt
Organism: Triticum urartu
Lineage: Eukaryota; Viridiplantae; Streptophyta; Magnoliopsida; Poales; Poaceae
Source: Rfam
UACGUAUUCCCUCCAUUCCGAAUUACUUGUCGUAGGUAUAGAUGUAUCUAGAUGUAUUUUAGUUCUAGAUACAUCCAUUUCUGCGACGAGUAAUUUGAAACGAAGGGAGUAUCUU